ACUGAUCUAUGGGUAGUCGCGCCUGAAAAGGUGAGGAAAGUCCGGACUCCAUAUGGCAGUGCAAGGGGUAACGCCCCUCCGGUGUGAACCGAGGAACAGUGGAACAGAGAAAAUGUCUAAGGCAUUGAGCCUAAUACCGGGAACGGGAGGUAUUAGGGGAGCCAAGGAGUGAAAAUAGCUAAACUCUGCACGGAGCAAGAUCAAAUAGGAAAGCAUUAAGUACGGCCAGUACGAGCUUUCGGGUAAGAUCGCUUGAGGCCAUUAGUAAUAAUGGUCCCAGAGGAAUGAAUACCUCCCUUUGGAUUUGGCAGAUGAAUUAGGGAACAGAAUCCGGCUUAUAGUAGAUCAAAACGC
Molecule: RNase P RNA, 354 nt
Filed under: Bdellovibrionales bacterium
Lineage: Bacteria; Pseudomonadati; Bdellovibrionota; Bdellovibrionia; Bdellovibrionales
Description: RNase P RNA component class A
Rfam family: Bacterial RNase P class A
About the family: Ribonuclease P (RNase P) is a ubiquitous endoribonuclease, found in archaea, bacteria and eukarya as well as chloroplasts and mitochondria.
Source: RNAcentral